RNAcentral lists this unclassified non-coding RNA (378 nucleotides) under plant metagenome. Its description in RNAcentral is "partial contains 5.8S ribosomal RNA, internal transcribed spacer 2, and large subunit ribosomal RNA". The stretch from base 1 to 105 matches the Rfam family "5.8S ribosomal RNA", at positions 50 to 154 of the family's 154-position model. The record is from RNAcentral.
GAAAUGCGAUAAGUAAUGUGAAUUGCAGAAUUCAGUGAAUCAUCGAAUCUUUGAACGCACCUUGCGCUCCUUGGUAUUCCUUGGAGCAUGCCUGUUUGAGUAUCAUGAAAUCUUCAAAGUAAAUCUUUUGUUAACUCAAUUGGUUUCUACUUUGGUAUUGGAGGUCUUUGCAGCUUCACACCUGCUCCUCUUUGUUCAUUAGCUGGAUCUCAGUGUUAUGCUUGGUUCCACUCGGCGUGAUAAGUUAUCUAUCGCUGAGGACACUGUAAAAGGUGGCCAAGGUAAAUGCAGAUGAACCGCUUCUAAUAGUCCAUUGACUUGGACAAUACUUUUAUGAUCUGAUCUCAAAUCAGGUCUGACUACCCGCUGAACUUAAGC